This 458-nucleotide ribosomal RNA is filed under the name uncultured bacterium. Its description in RNAcentral is "partial 16S ribosomal RNA". It matches the Rfam family "Bacterial small subunit ribosomal RNA", at positions 338 to 795 of the family's 1533-position model. The record is from RNAcentral.
CCUACGGGAGGCAGCAGUGAGGAAUAUUGGUCAAUGGGCGAGAGCCUGAACCAGCCAAGUCGCGUGAGGGAGUACUGCCCUAUGGGUUGUAAACCUCUUUUGUCGGGGAGCAAAAGCCGGACGUGUCCGGCUGUGAGAGUACCCGAAGAAAAAGGAUCGGCUAACUCCGGUCCAGCAGCCGCGGUAAUACGGAGGAUGCGAGGGUUAUCCGGGUUUAUUGGGUUUAAAGGGUGCGCAGGCGGAUUUUUAAGUCAGCGGUAAAAUCGUGGGGCUCAACCCCAUCCAGCCGUUGAAACUGGGGAUCUAGAGUGUGCGAGAGGUAUGCGGAAUGCGUGGUGUAGCGGUGAAAUGCAUAGAUAUCACGCAGAACCCCGAUUGCGAAGGCAGCAUACCGGUGCACAACUGACGCUCAGGCACGAAAGCGUGGGUAUCGAACAGGAUUAGAUACCCGAGUAGUC